This 345-nucleotide long non-coding RNA is filed under the name Malus domestica (apple). Its description in RNAcentral is "long non-coding RNA (MDOM_LNC012211)". The record is from RNAcentral. Lineage: Eukaryota; Viridiplantae; Streptophyta; Magnoliopsida; Rosales; Rosaceae.
AAGGCCUCAGAGCGGUAAUUUAAGUUGCACGAAACAUGGGACGCCUUGCAAGUCUAGGAAAUGAACAUCACCACAAGCGACAACAAAUUAGAAUCAAGGCAGAUAUGGAUUAUUUUACGUCUCUAUGCCAUUGAUGUUCAAAUAUGCAACUGAAAAAGAAAAAACAGUCAAAGCGUCCACAUAUAAUAAUGGGCUCAACAACUCUAAAACCCACAAAAGUUAUGCAUCAUCAACAGAUUUCUCUAUCUUAACAAUGGCAUUAUUCAAAACUUCAGCUAAUUCCGUUUUUCACACAUUGCAGGGAGGCCAAACUUACAACCACACAAGGAAUGGACGAGAGCAUCU